Molecule: regulatory RNA element, 62 nt
Organism: Erwinia mallotivora
Lineage: Bacteria; Pseudomonadati; Pseudomonadota; Gammaproteobacteria; Enterobacterales; Erwiniaceae
Rfam family: DnaX ribosomal frameshifting element
About the family: This family represents a ribosomal frameshifting element found in the mRNA of the dnaX gene in E. coli.
Source: Rfam
AGCAGGGUGCCACUAAACCAAAAAAGAGUGAGCCGGCGGCGCAGGGGGCGCGGUCGGCAGGU